CCGUGCCAAGCACUUUGCAUGAAUUUCCUCCUCUGAUCCUCACGAUGAUCCCAAGGGGGAAGAUACAAUCAGUAUCCUUCAAGUCAAGCCACCUGUCUGGCUUGUCCUUCCUAGGAGACCUCUUCGCAGAAAAGUGGGAGAAUAUUGGACCUUCACAGGAGGUGCCUGGGAAGGUCUGGUCCUCGCUUUCCCACGGUGCGCGAAGCCAGCUGUGGAGAAGAGCCGGGCUCCGGUCAUGGCUGUCCUCGUCCCACUCAGGCAGCCCCAGCCCUCCCCAGGGCAUUUUGAAUUCUCGUCACCUUUUCUAUUUUCUGUUUUUCUCCCACAACAUUAUUUUAGGGCUUCUGCUAUGCUAACACAUGUUUUGGGGACAGUGGGGGAUUCCCCCAAACCAUGAUGCUGUUCAGUUCAAAAACAUUUGCCUGAAGGUCCACAGCUGGGUGACUCACACUGCUGAGGGGGUAAGAAAACUCACAGCUGCAGCGGGGAGAGGCUGGCCCAACCAAAGGGGGGACCCUUACAGGGUGGCCGGUUUGAGUAAAUAAAAAUACAGGAAGUCCAGCUAAUUUUGAAUUUCAGACGAACAACUCCACUUGGAACAUCUGGAAGCUUCAAGUUUAUCUGUUAGCCAGGUGUGGUGGCACACGCCUGAACUCCCAGCUACUGGGGAGGCUUCAACAGGAG
This 684-nucleotide long non-coding RNA is filed under the name Marmota monax (woodchuck). Lineage: Eukaryota; Metazoa; Chordata; Mammalia; Rodentia; Sciuridae. The record is from RNAcentral.